This is a long non-coding RNA of Peromyscus eremicus (cactus mouse), 1402 nucleotides long. RefSeq lists it as uncharacterized. The transcript has 5 exons. The record is from RefSeq and is a predicted model, not a curated record. Lineage: Eukaryota; Metazoa; Chordata; Mammalia; Rodentia; Cricetidae.
UUGGAUGCUACCCUGCCUUCCGUAGGCGCCGCACUCGACGGCCUAGCCAAUCGCAGGCCACGCCGUGUCGCAGCAGCCAAUCGGAGAGGCCCGGAGCCUUCGAGACCCUCCGCGGGCCGCGCCUUGGCCUCGCACCGCUCGGAUUCUUUUGUUAGAGCGCCCAGGUGUUCUCGCGGCUGGGCCUACUCGCGUGCGAUCCGGCGCCAUCGCGCCUUGGCCAGCCUAGUAAUGGGUAGUAGAGAGGCGGGAAGCGAGCUGACGCCGAAGUGGCGUUGGCGAUGGUGGCGCUUGCUGUGGAGGACCGGUGGGAGAAUGGCGCCAGGAGACGGCUCACGGAUGCGGGGAUGACGCAGGAGGUUUUGGUGUGACCUGGCGCUAUGUAUGUGAUACCACACAGGAGCUUGACCGAGGAUGCCCCGGAAUCCUAAUUUAGGAACCUUUUUUCUGAAGACGUUUUGCCCUGAUGAGGAAGAGGAGGGAUUGUCUUGAAGAGAUGUGGCUUUGGAAGACGAUAUGAAAUACACAGGAAAGGAGAGAAAAGGAUUUUUGCUUGAGUACUAUUUGCAAACUUACUGAAUAAUUUGAAGAUUUAUAUAAGGGCCUGUUGAGAAAGUGGCGUGUCCCUUCCUUCUCUAAGGAAAGUGCUCGGCACACAGCCUGAUGACCACAAGCUGCGAGAGAACUGACUCCUGACGUUGUCUUCUGACCACACAGACACAAUAAGAAAAUAAAUGUGAUUUUUAAAAACUGAAAUAGUAAGAAAACAUUAGAAUGCUGCUGUUUUAUUGAAAUGUAAGCAUGGUACAUGUAAUUAUGGAACAAAUUGGAUGCCUUGUGAUAGUUUUGUACAAAACUUUACCCUCUUCUGACUGAGAAAGGGAUCAAAAUUGUCAAAAGAAUUGAACUCUUUGUAAAUCUUUUUCUUUUGUAAAGAUUUAUUUGUAAUGGUAUGCUACGAGUUUGCGGUACCCUCAGAGUGCCGUUGGAGUUACAGACAGUUGUGAGCUGCCUGGGUGGGUGCUGUAAGCUGAACUUGGGCCUCUGGAAGAGCAAAAUGGUCUCUUAAGUUCUGAGUCAUCUUCCAGCGCAACUUUUUGUGAAUGAAUUUGAAUUUGUUUGCAUCGUGGAUAAAAAGCAAGAAUAAAGGGUGCUAUGUUGGAAUGUUGUGACUGCUGCCAAUCAAAAUGAACUGUAACUUCCUGUCAGAGUUGCUUCCUGAUAGAGGGCUAGCCCAGAGUCAAACAUAAACUAGUCAGAAGUAUCCUCAUUUACAGUUCAGAAACCAUGCCAAAUGAGGGUGGCUGCCCAAUAAAAACAGCCAGUUGGUCCUCACAGACCCAAUUCUACCACCAUCUUAUUGCGGUUCAUUUGUAGUACACUUAAACAUUUUCUACUAGUCUGA